RNAcentral lists this ribosomal RNA (465 nucleotides) under Vreelandella stevensii. RNAcentral's name for it is "partial 16S ribosomal RNA". It matches the Rfam family "Bacterial small subunit ribosomal RNA", at positions 338 to 795 of the family's 1533-position model. The record is from RNAcentral. Lineage: Bacteria; Pseudomonadati; Pseudomonadota; Gammaproteobacteria; Oceanospirillales; Halomonadaceae.
CCUACGGGGGGCAGCAGUGGGGAAUAUUGGACAAUGGGGGCAACCCUGAUCCAGCCAUGCCGCGUGUGUGAAGAAGGCCCUCGGGUUGUAAAGCACUUUCAGUGAGGAAGAACGCCUGGUGGUUAAUACCCAUCAGGAAAGACAUCACUCACAGAAGAAGCACCGGCUAACUCCGUGCCAGCAGCCGCGGUAAUACGGAGGGUGCGAGCGUUAAUCGGAAUUACUGGGCGUAAAGCGCGCGUAGGUGGCUUGAUCAGCCGGUUGUGAAAGCCCCGGGCUCAACCUGGGAACGGCAUCCGGAACUGUCAAGCUAGAGUGCAGGAGAGGAAGGUAGAAUUCCCGGUGUAGCGGUGAAAUGCGUAGAGAUCGGGAGGAAUACCAGUGGCGAAGGCGGCCUUCUGGACUGACACUGACACUGAGGUGCGAAAGCGUGGGUAGCAAACAGGAUUAGAUACCCUAGUAGUC